Molecule: ribosomal RNA, 492 nt
Filed under: uncultured bacterium
Lineage: Bacteria
Description: partial 16S ribosomal RNA
Rfam family: Bacterial small subunit ribosomal RNA
Source: RNAcentral
AGUGAACGCUGGCGGUAGGCUUAACACAUGCAAGUCGAACGGGAGCACAGUAAUAGCUUGCUCUUACGGGUGGCGAGUGGCAGACAGGUGCGGUAUACAUCGGAAUAUCCUUUUUAGUGGGGGAUAAAGUAGGGAAACUUACGCUAAUACCGCAUACGACCUACGGGUGAAAGCAGGGGCUCUUCGGACCUUGCGCGAUUGAAUGAGACGAUAUCGGAUUAGCUAGUUGGCGGGGUACUGGCCCACCAAGGCGACGGUCGGUAGCUGGUCUGGGAGGUUGACCAGCGACGCUGCAACGGGAACACGGGCCAGACUGCUACGGGAAGCAGCAGUGGGCAAUAUUGGACAAUGGGCGCAAGCAUGAUCCAGCCAUACCGGGUGGGUUAAGAAGGCCUUCGGGUUGUGAAGUCCAUGUGUUGGGAAAGAAAAGCAUCAGGUUAAUACCCCGCUAUUCUGACGGUACCCAAAGAAUAAGCACCGGCUAACUUCGUG